This 433-nucleotide ribosomal RNA is filed under the name uncultured bacterium. RNAcentral describes it as "partial 16S ribosomal RNA". It matches the Rfam family "Bacterial small subunit ribosomal RNA", at positions 29 to 507 of the family's 1533-position model. The record is from RNAcentral.
AACGAACGCUGGCGGCAGGCCUAACACAUGCAAGUCGAGCGAGGACUUCGGUCCUAGCGGCGGACGGGUGAGUAACGCGUGGGAACGUGCCCUUUGCUUCGGAAUAGCCCUGGGAAACUGGGAGUAAUACCGGAUGAGCCCUUUGGGGGAAAGAUUUAUCGGCGAAGGAUCGGCCCGCGUUGGAUUAGGUAGUUGGUGGGGUAAUGGCCUACCAAGCCGACGAUCCAUAGCUGGUUUGAGAGGCUGAUCAGCCACACUGGGACUGAGACACGGCCCAGACUCCUACGGGAGGCAGCAGUGGGGAAUCUUAGACAAUGGGGGAAACCCUGAUCUAGCCAUGCCGCGUGAGCGAUGAAGGCCUUAGGGUUGUAAAGCUCUUUCAGCUGGGAAGAUAAUGACGGUACCAGCAGAAGAAGCCCCGGCUAACUCCGUG